This 407-nucleotide ribosomal RNA is filed under the name uncultured bacterium. RNAcentral's name for it is "bacterial SSU rRNA". It matches the Rfam family "Bacterial small subunit ribosomal RNA", at positions 775 to 1181 of the family's 1533-position model. The record is from RNAcentral.
AGUAAAUAGAUACCCGGGUAGUCCACGCGGUAAACGAUGAAUACUAGCCCGAUGGGGUGUUAAAGCCUUAGUGGCGCAGCUAAACGCGAUAAGUAUUCCGCCUGGGAAGUACGGCCGCAAGGUUAAAACUCAAAGGAAUUGACGGGGCCCGCACAAGCGGUGGAGUAUGUGGUUUAAUUCGAUGCAACGCGAAGAACCUUACCUACUCUUGACAUGGUGGGAAUGGCGUAGAGAUAUGCCAGUGCCGAAAGGAACCCACACACAGGUGCUGCAUGGCUGUCGUCAGCUCGUGUCGUGAGAUGUUGUCUUAAGUGACGCAACGAGCGCAACCCUUGCCUCUAGUUACCAUCAUUCAGUUGGGGACUCUAGAGGGACUGCUGGCCUAUGGCCGGAGGAAGGGGGUGGUA